GAAAUUUCCCUACGAUCUUUACAGUAUUGUCGUAAAUAUAGGCUAGGUUGCCAAGCGACCAUAUGAUUUCAGGCUUAGGCCACUCUACUGUAAAGUGAGGGGAUCCACACAGAAGGUUAAAGUGAGUUCACCAAAACACGCAUCAUGCCGUUCAUCGACCUCCAGGGGAAGUUGGGUAUCAACAUGGACAAAUGGAUGUUGAUCCAGGGUGGAGAGCAGCCAUAUAAACGUGCGCCGCGCUGCCAUGCCUUUGAGAAGGAGUGGAUCGAGUGUGCAGAUGGCAUUGGUCAGACCCGUGCCAAAAAGGAGUGCAAGCUCGAGUUUGAGGACUUCUAUGAGUGCAUGCACAGAGAGAAGACGCACAAGAGGCUGUAUGAGAUCCGUAAGCAGCGGGACAAGAUGGUGAAGGAGGGCACCUACCAGACCCCAGCUCACCACACUGGCGCUCAGGCUGACAACAGGCCUUGACCCUAUUUGACCUUGUGUCCCCAACUUGUGUACAGUGUAGGGAGAGAUGAUUGGAAGGGACAGAAACGUGAAGGUAGCCUAGUGGUUGGUGUUGGACUAGUAACCGAAAGGUUGCAAGAUC
Molecule: RNA transcript, 589 nt
Organism: Oncorhynchus gorbuscha (pink salmon)
Lineage: Eukaryota; Metazoa; Chordata; Actinopteri; Salmoniformes; Salmonidae
Gene name: NADH dehydrogenase [ubiquinone] iron-sulfur protein 5-like
Exons: 5
Source: RefSeq, a predicted model, not a curated record